UACGGGGGGUGCAAGAGUUGUUCGGAAUCAUUGGGCGUAAAGAGCGUGUAGGCGGUUGGACAAGUCAGAUGUGAAAGCCCUGGGCUCAACCCAGGAAGUGCAUUUGAAACUGUUCAGCUAGAGUAAGGGAGAGGAAAGUGGAAUUCCUGGUGUAGAGGUGAAAUUCGUAGAUAUCAGGAGGAACACCGGUGGCGAAGGCGACUUUAUGGCCCUAUACGGAAGCGGAGACGAGAGAGCGGGGGUAGCACACAGGCUGCGAUAACACCGUAGUCC
RNAcentral lists this ribosomal RNA (273 nucleotides) under uncultured bacterium. Its description in RNAcentral is "partial 16S ribosomal RNA". It matches the Rfam family "Bacterial small subunit ribosomal RNA", at positions 524 to 796 of the family's 1533-position model. The record is from RNAcentral.